Molecule: ribosomal RNA, 491 nt
Filed under: uncultured bacterium
Lineage: Bacteria
Description: partial 16S ribosomal RNA
Rfam family: Bacterial small subunit ribosomal RNA
Source: RNAcentral
GUGAACGCUGGCGGUAGGCCUAACCCCUGCCAGUCGAACGGCAGCACCGUAAGAGCUUGCUCUUACGGGUGGCGAGUGGCGGACGGGUGAGGAAUACAUCGGAAUCUACUUUUUCGUGGGGGAUAACGUAGGGAAACUUACGCUAAUACCGCAUACGACCUACGGGUGAAAGCAGGGGAUCUUCGGACCUUGCGCGAUUGAAUGAGCCGAUGUCGGAUUAGCUAGUUGGCGGGGUAAAGGCCCACCAAGGCGACGAUCCGUAGCUGGUCUGAGAGGAUGAUCAGCCACACUGGAACUGAGACACGGUCCAGACUCCUACGGGAGGCAGCAGUGGGGAAUAUUGGACAAUGGGCGCAAGCCUGAUCCAGCCAUACCGCGUGGGUGAAGAAGGCCUUCGGGUUGUAAAGCCCUUUUGUUGGGAAAGAAAAGCAGCAGGUUAAUACCCCGCUGUUCUGACGGUACCCAAAGAAUAAGCACCGGCUAACUUCGCG